GGGAGGUAGUGACAAUAAAUAACAAUACGGGGUUCUUUCGGAUCUCGUAAUUGGAAUGAGUACAAUUUAAAUCUCUUAACGAGGAACAAUUGGAGGGCAAGUCUGGUGCCAGCAGCCGCGGUAAUUCCAGCUCCAAUAGCGUAUAUUAAAGUUGUUGCAGUUAAAAAGCUCGUAGUUGAAUUUCGGGAUCAGUAGGUUGGUCAUGCCUAUGGUAUGUACUGGCUUUACUGGUUCCUCCUUCUUGAUGAUCUGUAAUGUCAUUAAUUUGGUGUUGCAGGGAGUCAGGACUGUUACUUUGAAAAAUUAGAGUGUUUAAAGCAGGCAUACGCUUGAAUACAUUAGCAUGGAAUAAUGAAAUAGGACGUUCGAACCUAUUUUGUUGGUUUCUAGGAUUGACGUAAUGAUUAAUAGGGAUAGUUGGG
RNAcentral lists this ribosomal RNA (422 nucleotides) under uncultured Glomeraceae. Its description in RNAcentral is "SSU rRNA". It matches the Rfam family "Eukaryotic small subunit ribosomal RNA", at positions 459 to 886 of the family's 1831-position model. The record is from RNAcentral. Lineage: Eukaryota; Fungi; Glomeromycota; Glomeromycetes; Glomerales; Glomeraceae.